UAAGGGCGCACGGUGGAUGCCUUGGCACUAGAAGCCGAUGAAGGACGUUACUAACGACGAUAUGCUUUGGGGAGCUGUAAGUAAGCUUUGAUCCAGAGAUUUCCGAAUGGGGAAACCCAGCAUGAGUUAUGUCAUGUUAUCGAUAUGUGAAUACAUAGCAUAUCAGAAGGCACACCCGGAGAACUGAAACAUCUUAGUACCCGGAGGAAGAGAAAGAAAAUUCGAUUCCCUUAGUAGCGGCGAGCGAAACGGGAAGAGCCCAAACCAACAAGCUUGCUUGUUGGGGUUGUAGGACACUCUAUACGGAGUUACAAAGGACGACAUUAGACGAAUCAUCUGGAAAGAUGAAUCAAAGAAGGUAAUAAUCCUGUAGUCGAAAAUGUUGUCUCUCUUGAGUGGAUCCUGAGUACGACGGAGCACGUGAAAUUCCGUCGGAAUCUGGGAGGACCAUCUCCUAAGGCUAAAUACUCUCUAGUGACCGAUAGUGAACCAGUACCGUGAGGGAAAGGUGAAAAGCACCCCGGAAGGGGAGUGAAAUAGAACCUGAAACCGUGUGCUUACAAGUAGUCAGAGCCCGUUAAUGGGUGAUGGCGUGCCUUUUGUAGAAUGAACCGGCGAGUUACGAUUUGAUGCAAGGUUAAGCAGUAAAUGUGGAGCCGUAGCGAAAGCGAGUCUGAAUAGGGCGUUUAGUAUUUGGUCGUAGACCCGAAACCAGGUGAUCUACCCUUGGUCAGGUUGAAGUUCAGGUAACACUGAAUGGAGGACCGAACCGACUUACGUUGAAAAGUGAGCGGAUGAACUGAGGGUAGCGGAGAAAUUCCAAUCGAACCUGGAGAUAGCUGGUUCUCUCCGAAAUAGCUUUAGGGCUAGCCUCAAGUGAUGAUUAUUGGAGGUAGAGCACUGUUUGGACGAGGGGCCCCUCUCGGGUUACCGAAUUCAGACAAACUCCGAAUGCCAAUUAAUUUAACUUGGGAGUCAGAACAUGGGUGAUAAGGUCCGUGUUCGAAAGGGAAACAGCCCAGACCACCAGCUAAGGUCCCAAAAUAUAUGUUAAGUGGAAAAGGAUGUGGCGUUGCCCAGACAACUAGGAUGUUGGCUUAGAAGCAGCCAUCAUUUAAAGAGUGCGUAAUAGCUCACUAGUCGAGUGACACUGCGCCGAAAAUGUACCGGGGCUAAACAUAUUACCGAAGCUGUGGAUUGUCCUUUGGACAAUGGUAGGAGAGCGUUCUAAGGGCGUUGAAGCAUGAUCGUAAGGACAUGUGGAGCGCUUAGAAGUGAGAAUGCCGGUGUGAGUAGCGAAAGACGGGUGAGAAUCCCGUCCACCGAUUGACUAAGGUUUCCAGAGGAAGGCUCGUCCGCUCUGGGUUAGUCGGGUCCUAAGCUGAGGCCGACAGGCGUAGGCGAUGGAUAACAGGUUGAUAUUCCUGUACCACCUAUAAUCGUUUUAAUCGAUGGGGGGACGCAGUAGGAUAGGCGAAGCGUGCGAUUGGAUUGCACGUCUAAGCAGUAAGGCUGAGUAUUAGGCAAAUCCGGUACUCGUUAAGGCUGAGCUGUGAUGGGGAG
RNAcentral lists this ribosomal RNA (1563 nucleotides) under Staphylococcus aureus. RNAcentral's name for it is "partial 23S ribosomal RNA". It matches the Rfam family "Bacterial large subunit ribosomal RNA", at positions 12 to 1573 of the family's 2925-position model. Lineage: Bacteria; Bacillati; Bacillota; Bacilli; Caryophanales; Staphylococcaceae. The record is from RNAcentral.